UUGCUCUUCAACGAGGAAUGCCUAGUAAGCGCGUGUCAUCAGCAUGCGUUGAUUACGUCCCUGCCCUUUGUACACACCGCCCGUCGCUACUACCGAUUGAAUGGCUCAGUGAGGCCUUCGGACUGGCCCAGGGAGGUCGGCAACGACCACCCAGGGCCGGAAAGUUCGUCAAACUUGGUCAUUUAGAGGAAGUAAAAGUCGUAACAAGGUCUCCGUAGGUGAACCUGCGGAGGGAUCAUUACCGAGUGAAGGGCCUCCGGGCCCGACCUCCNAACCCUUUGUAUUCCGACUCUGUUGCCUCGGGGGCGACCCGGCCUUCGGGCGCGGGGCCCCCGGCGGUCCACUCAACUCUGCAUCUUUGCGUCUGAGUAAAUAUUUGAAUCAAUCAAAACUUUCAACAACGGAUCUCUUGGUUCUGGCAUCGAUGAAGAACGCAGCGAAAUGCGAUAAGUAAUGUGAAUUGCAGAAUUCAGUGAAUCAUCGAAUCUUUGAACGCACAUUGCGCCCUUUGGCAUUCCGAAGGGCAUGCCUGUUCGAGCGUCAUUACACCACUCAAGCCUCGCUUGGUAUUGGGCGCCGCGGUCCGCCGCGCGCCUCAAUGUCUCCGGCUGAGCCGUCCGUCUCGAAGCGUUGUGCAUCAAUCAAUCCGCUUGCGAGGCCGGGCUGGCUGCGCGCCGUUAAACCCCCCAUUCUUCUAGGUUGACCUCGGAUCAGGUAGGGAUACCCGCUGAACUUAAGCAUAUCAAUAAGCGGAGGA
RNAcentral lists this ribosomal RNA (757 nucleotides) under uncultured fungus. Its description in RNAcentral is "eukaryotic LSU rRNA". The stretch from base 1 to 241 matches the Rfam family "Eukaryotic small subunit ribosomal RNA", at positions 1593 to 1831 of the family's 1831-position model. Lineage: Eukaryota; Fungi. The record is from RNAcentral.